RNAcentral lists this non-coding RNA (83 nucleotides) under Protocruzia adhaerens. Lineage: Eukaryota; Ciliophora; Spirotrichea. The record is from RNAcentral.
GAACUGCUUUGGCUAUGGGUGCCGAUAAAGGUAUUCAUAUCCAAACUGAUUUGAGAACCGAUCAAGAAGUUCAACCUUUGAAU